GAGUCAGUAAUGUUACUUGAAACUAUGCAUCUGCCAAGGGUUCCUGUUUUCUGUCCCCUAGAGGGCAAUCACAAGCCCUUAUGAGACCUUACAUCACCCUCAACUCUGAUGAUGGAAGAAACUGCCCUGAGUGGAAGACAUGCGACUAGUUCUGCCUAUAAGGGUUAGGCUUGAGGCUUCCCUAAUGUGAUUGGUGCCAUAGACUGCACACACACACAUCCCCAUCAAGGCCCCAAUGAAGGGGAUUUUGUGAACCGAAAGGGAGUUCACAGUGUAAAUGUGCAGAUGGUGUGUGACUAUGUGCCAUAUCACAAAUGUGGAAGCAAAAUGGCCUGGAUCUGCACAUUUAUGCACAUUAUUUGAACGUGGCGUUUAUGAUGGGAUCCUGCUUUGAGACAGGGGCUAUGCCUGCAGGCAGGAUUUUAUGACGCCAUUCCCUGACCCAAACCCCGGACCACAAACAAGUUACAAUGCAGCUCUAGCCAGGACAAGGGCAUGCAUUGAAAUGACCUUUGGGCAACUAAAGGGAAGAUUUCAGUGUCUGAAAAGUCUUGGGGUUGCACCUGACAGGGCCUGCGACAUUGUUGCAUGUGCCGUAUUACACAACAUUGCCACCAUCAGAAAGGAGAGGACCCCUGUGGUGGAGGUGCAGCCUGAUGAUCACCUCCAGCCAGUGCACUUGGACCAACCUAGUGGCAGAGCUGCACGAGACAGAAUUGUGGAACACCAUUUUUGC
Long non-coding RNA from Myxocyprinus asiaticus (Chinese sucker), 736 nucleotides. RefSeq lists it as uncharacterized. The record is from RefSeq and is a predicted model, not a curated record. NCBI's taxonomy places the organism in Eukaryota, Metazoa, Chordata, Actinopteri, Cypriniformes, Catostomidae. The transcript has 4 exons.